RNAcentral lists this transfer RNA (72 nucleotides) under Patescibacteria group bacterium. Its description in RNAcentral is "tRNA-Glu". It matches the Rfam family "tRNA". From Rfam's summary of the family: Transfer RNA (tRNA) molecules are approximately 80 nucleotides in length. The record is from RNAcentral.
GGCCCCAUCGUCUAGCGGCUAGGACAGUAGGUUCUCAACCUACAGACCAGGGUUCGAUUCCCUGUGGGGUCA